RNAcentral lists this ribosomal RNA (400 nucleotides) under uncultured bacterium. RNAcentral's name for it is "bacterial SSU rRNA". It matches the Rfam family "Bacterial small subunit ribosomal RNA", at positions 355 to 754 of the family's 1533-position model. The record is from RNAcentral.
UAGGGAAUUUUCGGCAAUGGGGGAAACCCUGACCGAGCAACGCCGCGUGAAUGAAGAAGUACUUCGGUAUGUAAAGUUCUUUUAUCAGGGAAGAAUGGCGCGUGGAAAAGCGCGAGUGACGGUACCUGAUGAAUAAGCCCCGGCUAACUAUGUGCCAGCAGCCGCGGUAAUACAUAGGGGGCAAGCGUUAUCCGGAAUUAUUGGGCGUAAAGGGUGCGUAGGCGGUCAUUUAAGUCUUUGGUGUAAGUGCAGUGCUUAACGCUGUGAUGCUAAAGAAACUGGAUGACUUGAGUGAGAUAGAGGCAAGUGGAAUUCCAUGUGUAGCGGUAAAAUGCGUAAAUAUAUGGAGGAACACCAGUGGCGAAGGCGGCUUGCUGGGUCUAUACUGACGCUGAGGCAC